RNAcentral lists this ribosomal RNA (247 nucleotides) under uncultured bacterium. Its description in RNAcentral is "partial 16S ribosomal RNA". It matches the Rfam family "Bacterial small subunit ribosomal RNA", at positions 523 to 769 of the family's 1533-position model. The record is from RNAcentral.
AUACGGGGGGUGCAAGCGUUAAUCGGAAUCACUGGGCGUAAAGGGUGCGUAGGCGGUACAUUAGGUCUGUCGUGAAAUCCCCGGGCUCAACCUGGGAAUGGCGGUGGAAACCGGUGCACUAGAGUAUGGGAGAGGGUGGUGGAAUUCCAGGUGUAGCGGUGAAAUGCGUAGAGAUCUGGAGGAACAUCAGUGGCGAAGGCGGCCACCUGGCCCAAUACUGACGCUGAGGCACGAAAGCGUGGGGAGC